Molecule: ribosomal RNA, 554 nt
Filed under: uncultured Archaeorhizomycetes
Lineage: Eukaryota; Fungi; Ascomycota; Archaeorhizomycetes
Description: eukaryotic LSU rRNA
Rfam family: Eukaryotic large subunit ribosomal RNA
Source: RNAcentral
CCAGUAGUGGCGAAUGAAGCGGGAAAAGCUCAAGUUUGAAAUCUGGUAGGUAAAACUGUCCAGAGUUGUAAGCUGGAGAGGCGAUGUCCGACGCGGUCCAGGCUCAAUUUCCUUGGAACAGGAGGUCAUGGAGGGUGAGAACCCCGUACAUGGCUUGGGUACCGCCGUCCUUGUGACGCGUCCUCUAAGAGUCGGGUUGUUUGGGAAUGCAGCUCAAAAUGGGUGGUAAAUUUCAUCUAAAGCUAAAUAUUGGCGAGAGACCGAUAGCAAACAAGUAGAGUGAUCGAAAGAUGAAAAGUACUUUGAAAAGAGAGUGAAACAGUACGUGAAAUUGUUGAAAGGGAAGCGUUUGGCAUCAGCCCAUGGCGGUGGUCGAACAUCUGGGCUUCUGCCUAGUGCACUCGGCCGCCGUUGGGCCAGCGUCGGCUCUGCCUGCCGGAGAAAGGCCUUGGGGAAGUGGCUCUCUUCGGGGAGCGUUAUAACCCUUGGUGUCAUGCGGCUGGGCGGGGCCGAGGUCCGCGGUUUAUUCCUAGGACGCUGGCGUAAUGGUUCCA